This 996-nucleotide ribosomal RNA is filed under the name metagenome. RNAcentral describes it as "bacterial SSU rRNA". It matches the Rfam family "Bacterial small subunit ribosomal RNA", at positions 8 to 982 of the family's 1533-position model. The record is from RNAcentral.
AGGGUUUGAUCCUGGCUCAGAGUGAACGCUAGCGGCGUGGAUUAGGCAUGCAAGUUGAGCGCGAAAGCAUGAUGAAGGAUCCUUCGGGUGACUGAUUCGGCGAGUAGAGCAGCGCAAGGGUGAGUAAUACAUGGCUAACAUACCCCGAACAUGAGAAUAACUAUUAGAAAUGAUAGCUAAUGCUCAAUAGUUUCUUAAGACCUCCUGGUCUAAAGAAUAAAGGUAGGGAUCCUUCGGGACCUUCCGGUUUGGGAGUGGGUCAUGGGCUAUCAGCUAGUUGGUGAGGUAAAGGCUCACCAAGGCUAAGACGGCUAGGCGAUCUGAGAGGAUGAUCGCCCACAUCGGGACUGAGACACUGCCCGGACUCCUACGGGAGGCUGCAGUCGAGAAUCUUCCGCAAUGCGCGCAAGCGUGACGGAGCAAUGCCGCGUGGUGGAUGAAGGCCUUAGGGUUGUAAACACCUGUCACAUGGGACGAAUAUUUGACGGUACCAUGAGAGGAAGCCACGGCUAACUACGUGCCAGCAGCCGCGGUAAUACGUAGGUGGCGAGCGUUGUUCGGAUUUAUUGGGCGUAAAGGGUCCGCAGGGGGUUUACUAAGUCUGAUGUGAAAUCCCAAGGCUCAACCUUGGAACUGCAUUGGAAACUGGUGAACUAGAGUAUCGGAGAGGUAAAUGGAAUUCCUGGUGUAGCGGUGGAAUGCGUAGAUAUCAGGAAGAACACCGAGAGCGAAGGCAAUUUACUGGACGAUCACUGACCCUCAGGGACGAAAGCGUAGGUAGCGAACAGGAUUAGAUACCCUGGUAGUCUACGCCGUAAACGUUGUGAACUUGUUGUGGGGGGAUUUAGCCCCUUCCGUGACGCAGCUAACGCUUUAAGUUCACCGCCUGGGGACUACGGCCGCAAGGCUAAAACUCAAAGGAAUUGACGGGGGCCCGCACAAGCGGUGGAGCAUGUGGCUUAAUUCGAGGCAACGCGAAGAACCUUACCUGGACUU